AGUGAACGCUGGCGGUAGGCCUAACACAUGCAAGUCGAACGGCAGCACAGUAAGAGCUUGCUCUUACGGGUGGCGAGUGGCGGACGGGUGAGGAAUACAUCGGAAUCUACUUUUUCGUGGGGGAUAACGUAGGGAAACUUACGCUAAUACCGCAUACGACCUACGGGUGAAAGCAGGGGAUCUUCGGACCUUGCGCGACUGAAUGAGCCGAUGUCGGAUUAGCUAGCUGGCGGGGUAAAGGCCCACCAAGGCGACGAUCCGUAGCUGGUCUGAGAGGAUGAUCAGCCACACUGGAACUGAGACACGGUCCAGACUCCUACGGGAGGCAGCAGUGGGGAAUAUUGGACAAUGGGCGCAAGCCUGAUCCAGCCAUACCGCGUGGGUGAAGAAGGCCUUCGGGUUGUAAAGCCCUUUUGUUGGGAAAGAAAAGCAGCAGGUUAAUACCCCGCUGUUCUGACGGUACCCAAAGAAUAAGCACCGGCUAACUUCGUG
RNAcentral lists this ribosomal RNA (492 nucleotides) under uncultured bacterium. RNAcentral's name for it is "partial 16S ribosomal RNA". It matches the Rfam family "Bacterial small subunit ribosomal RNA", at positions 29 to 507 of the family's 1533-position model. The record is from RNAcentral.